This is a non-coding RNA of Nicotiana tabacum (common tobacco), 1704 nucleotides long. The record is from RefSeq and is a predicted model, not a curated record. NCBI's taxonomy places the organism in Eukaryota, Viridiplantae, Streptophyta, Magnoliopsida, Solanales, Solanaceae.
UACUGGGACGACUGGCUAAGACUCAAAGAGAAUCACAGAGGUCGACAAUUUAUUCGCCCAGAAGUUUGCUGAACAUAUAAUUUUGGUGAGCAUGGUUUUAGUUUGGGGCAGUUUUUCAAGCAGUAUCUUGAGCCAAUUAAACUAAAUGAUGUCCAGGCAUGUUAUUUUAUUUUAUUGCCAUCACCCCUUUUCUUGCCUACUCAUUCUUUCCACUUGUAUGACAUGUAUUCUACCUUGAAUUUUGUAAGGUUGAUUGGGAGUCAAUGGACCUUAGUUACCUUUUGGAGGACAAUUACGUGAAACACUUUGGUGACUUGGUUAAAAAGGCUAAGCCCAUCCAUGGAGCUGAUGCUGUUUUGAAAGCAUUUAACAUAGAUGGUGAUGUGCGUAUUCAGUACAGAGAUCAACUUGACUUUGAAGAUACUUAACUCUUUCGAUAUAUCAUCGACGCAAACAGUUGUUGAUCUGAUAUCACAAACGCUGGUGCAAAUGGAGGUGAAAUUUGAAAUACAUGCUUGCCAUCUUCUCUUUCACUUAUGCCUAUCUAUGGGCUUGGGCCCCAGUAACUUUCCAUGCAAUAUGUGCUUGGGCUAGAGGCUGCGUCUGCAGGAACAAAAAAUGGGGUUUGCCAAUAUGGGCAAGACUUGGACCGUGUUAGGCCAGCCUGUUUGGCCUCAUAUAUUUAUUAUAAUUCAUUUUUCAUAUAAUUGAUAUAGAAAGCAUUCUUUUGGAUAGGUUGAUGUAGUAUAUUUUGAUAUGUAUUCAUUCUGGGUUUUAUACCACAUGUAUAGAAUGAGUACAAAUGAAAUAGGAGAUUUCUUAGGUUCAUAUAUUAAAAUUUAGACUGAUCUAUAGCCAUUUUGAAUAGAAUUAGUGAAAAUGAAAUAGGAGGAGAUCUUUUAGUUCCAUAGGUUACAAUUUAGAUUGAGCUUCAGUCAUUUACUUGUUUUAUUUGUGGCUUUGGUUACUUGGUUAAUUGAUUACUUAAUUCUUAAACAAACUGUUUCUGCAAAUUUAGUUACUUUUUGGUAAAUAAAGCCUAGAUUAAUAUUCAAUAUUAUAGUUUUUAAAUUUAAAGAUAAAAUUUUCUUAACGCCUAUUUGUUGCUCAAGGCCAGUCCUAUGGGAAAGGGUGGGGUGGAGUUGAAAUUAGACCUAUGAUAGCCCGACCGUAGUGAUGUUAAUUGUGGUUACAUUCAUAAGUAGCUUGGUCCAUCUUUAUUCCAUUUCAUAUAUGUCUGAGGAUGUUAAUAUUGAGGAUAUUCAAGGCCCAUAUCUGUUCUUUGCCUGUACUGUGGACAGGUCUAUUCACACUAGCUGUGACUGGAUUUGUCCUCUUUCAUGGUUCUCCUUUUGCUUUCCGUAAAACUUGCACUAACUGUUCAUUUCAUCAGGAUGGUGUACCACGGGCAGCAUAUAAAGGAAUAGUGGUUUUCCGGUACCAAAUGUCCAGACGAGUAUUCCUUGUUGGCCCUGAUUUGCUUCAACAACUCGGAAUUGAAGAUACUUAACAAAGAUAUGCUUGGUAAGUUUCUGUCCAUAAUGAGCAACACUAUUGAGUACUCUGUACACAGAGCUUUUGUAGUUUGUCUUUUAAUUUUUUUCAUGGAAAUUUGUUUAUUCAUCUUCAUGAAGGAAAAUCCUGAAAUGAGAAUAAUGUAGGAAUAAGUUUGGAAACUUUGUAAAACCACUUAAUUCAACUCCA